GAUAGCUCAGUUGGUAGAGCAUGAAACUCUUCAUCUCAGGGCUGUGGGUUCAAGCCCCAUGUUGGGCA
Molecule: non-coding RNA, 68 nt
Organism: Podarcis lilfordi (Lilford's wall lizard)
Lineage: Eukaryota; Metazoa; Chordata; Lepidosauria; Squamata; Lacertidae
Source: the annotation of a GenBank genome assembly